RNAcentral lists this small RNA (631 nucleotides) under Drosophila mojavensis. RNAcentral describes it as "GI25847". Lineage: Eukaryota; Metazoa; Arthropoda; Insecta; Diptera; Drosophilidae. The record is from RNAcentral.
UAAUAAUAUUUAAUAUUCCAUCAGCCACAAACAAAAAGCAUCUAUGGAUACUCCGAACUAUAUACGACUACGAAGUCGAGUUGUGCCACUAAGUCCGGCUAAGGAGACGCCUGCAAAAUGGAAAAUGCAGAAAAGCAAGAAGAGCAAAGCGUGCAAAGAAUGUUUCAAAAAGAAGUUAGACGAAACAGUCUAUGCGGAUGUGGAAAGUGAAAAUGACGAGGCUGUGAUUUUUGUGUCCGACUCACGAGAUCCAUUAGAGUUUAUCGACUUGACCGAACAUGAGGACCAAUAUUAAAAUUAAGAUUAAGGUUAUUUUGUUAUUAAAUUUUGUUGUUAAUGGGAAAUUACAUUGUUUGUUGGAAUUGUAAUCUAAUUAUGUUUGAUUACAAAUUACUUGAGACUAAUGAAGAUUGAAUUUAAGCUAUCAGGAUAUUGGAGACGUCAGAGAUGGAGUGAAACGCUUCAGUCGAACAAUCUUAUUAGCAUUUGCAUUGAUUUGGGCAGAAUGCUACGAAACUCAAGAGCCUCAAGAUAUAAGAACCUGUUAAGCUUUUCAUUAUAGCAAACAAAUGAAGUUUUAUUCAAAAAUCUAAAAGCAAAUCGACUUGGGCUUUGAACCCAGAAUUUUUUG